AGCAGCCGCGGUAAUUCCAGCUCCAAUAGCGUAUAUUAAAGUUGUUGCAGUUAAAAAGCUCGUAGUUGAAUUUCGAGACCGGUUUAUUGGUCGUGCUUUUGUACGUACUGGUAUUAUUGGUUUCUCCUUUCUGACGAAUCUUAAUGCCAUUAAUUUGGUGUUUUGGGGAAUCAGGACUGUUACUUUGAAAAAUUGGAGUGUUUAAAGCAGGCUCACGCUUGAAUACAUUAGCAUGGAAUAACGAAAUAGGACGUUUGAUUUUAUUUUGUUGGUUUCUAGGAUCGACGUAAUGAUUAAUAGGGAUAGUUGGGGGCAUUAGUAUUCAAUUGUCAGAGGUGAAAUUCUUGGAUUUAUUGAAGACUAACUACUGCGAAAGCAUUUGCCAAGGAUGUUUUCAUUAAUCAAGAACGAAAGUUAGGGGAUCGAAGACGAUCAGAUACCGUCGUAGUCUUAACCAUAAACUAUGCCGACUA
RNAcentral lists this ribosomal RNA (473 nucleotides) under uncultured Glomus. RNAcentral describes it as "SSU rRNA". It matches the Rfam family "Eukaryotic small subunit ribosomal RNA", at positions 569 to 1048 of the family's 1831-position model. The record is from RNAcentral. Lineage: Eukaryota; Fungi; Glomeromycota; Glomeromycetes; Glomerales; Glomeraceae.